UACGGAGGGUGCGGGCGUUGUCCGGAAUCACUGGGCGUAAAGGGCGCGUAGGUGGCGCGGGCAGUCAACGGUGAAAGUUCGGGGCUCAACCCUGAAUCGGCCGUCGAUACUCCCGGGCUUGAGCACUGUAGAGGCAGAUGGAAUUCCGGGUGUAGCGGUGGAAUGCGUAGAGAUCCGGAAGAACACCGGUGGCGAAGGCGGUCUGCUGGGCAGUAGCUGACACUGAGGCGCGACAGCGUGGGGAGCAAACAGG
RNAcentral lists this ribosomal RNA (253 nucleotides) under uncultured bacterium. RNAcentral's name for it is "partial 16S ribosomal RNA". It matches the Rfam family "Bacterial small subunit ribosomal RNA", at positions 524 to 776 of the family's 1533-position model. The record is from RNAcentral.